AAAUUGAAGAGUUUGAUCAUGGCUCAGAUUGAACGCUGGCGGCAGGCCUAACACAUGCAAGUCGAACGGUAACAGAAAGAAGCUUGCUUCUUUGCUGACGAGUGGCGGACGGGUGAGUAAUGUCUGGGAAACUGCCUGAUGGAGGGGGAUAACUACUGGAAACGGUAGCUAAUACCGCAUAACGUCGCAAGACCAAAGAGGGGGACCUUCGGGC
RNAcentral lists this ribosomal RNA (214 nucleotides) under Escherichia coli. RNAcentral describes it as "partial 16S ribosomal RNA". It matches the Rfam family "Bacterial small subunit ribosomal RNA", at positions 1 to 214 of the family's 1533-position model. The record is from RNAcentral. Lineage: Bacteria; Pseudomonadati; Pseudomonadota; Gammaproteobacteria; Enterobacterales; Enterobacteriaceae.